Harpia harpyja (harpy eagle) is the source of this 319-nucleotide long non-coding RNA. RefSeq lists it as uncharacterized. The transcript has 4 exons. The record is from RefSeq and is a predicted model, not a curated record. NCBI's taxonomy places the organism in Eukaryota, Metazoa, Chordata, Aves, Accipitriformes, Accipitridae.
UCAUCACAGUUUCCAGAGGGCUGAGACUAGACCACAAAAGAGGCAGCACCCUCGGGUUUUUUACCUGUUAUCUGACACCAUGAUCUAACGCUCUGCUGAGUCACAAGACGGAAUGAACAAGGACGUGGAAAUGGUUCCCAUACUGCAGAAACUUGAACCUGACGGCAAAAACCGCACACUGUCAGUAACACAGGGUUAUCUUUCUGCAUUUUAAUCUGACUGCAUUUUAAUCAAGCAGAGAUGAAAAGAGUUCAGAGAUUUAUGGAUAAAGUAACAUGCCAUCAGCCUGUAUAUUUAUUGUGUGAGUAAAAGACAUGGU